UCAGCCAGCCUUAAUACAAGGGGUUGGUUUGGCAAAUAGGUUUCGGUUUCAGCUUCCAGGCGAGGCAGAACUUGCUGAAGAAGCUGACCGCAUGUUAGAGGGACUUGGUCCGCGGUUUAAUGAUUGGUGGGGAUAUGAACCUCUACCGGUUGAUGGGGACCUUCUACCAGCUGUUGUACCUGGAUACAGGAAGCCUUUCCGACUUCUUCCGUAUGGCUUGCAACCUAAGCUAACAGAUGAUGAAAUGACCACAAUAAGGAGACUUGCCCGACCCUUGCCAACUCAUUUUGCAUUAGGUUAGUUUGGAUUAUGAUGUCGCUACUCUUACUCUCUUCAGCCAACAUUUGUGUUUACUAGCUUUUCUCCCUAUACAGGAAGAAACAGAAAGCUUCAAGGGUUGGCUACGUCCAUUGUCAAACUCUGGGAAAAAUGUGAGAUUGCCAAAGUAGCUGUUAAAAGAGGGGUUCAGAACACUAAUUGCGAGCUGAUGGCUGAAGAGUUGAAGGUGUGAAUAUUUCUUCAAUGUAUCUAUAUUCUAUUUAUUGGAACCAGAACGCAUUAUGGCUGUUGCUUAACUUAGAACAUGUUCUUUGGCAGAGGCUGACUGGAGGAACUCUGAUUGCUCGGGACAAGGAAUUUAUUGUUUUAUACAGGGGAAAGGAUUUUCUGCCUCCUGCAGUUUCCUCUGCCAUAGAAGAGCGGAGGAAGGCUGUAAUGUAUGCAGAUAAUCGGAGUAGGAAGUUGAGGAUUUCUGCCACAACGGCACAGGAUCAUGAAUCCAGGACUGAACUGGAAACCAAAGAUGAUCUGACCGGUGGUCUUCCAUCUGAAAAAAGAAAGCUAAAAUCUACUGAGGCAGCUGCCAGUAGGGCCAGCAUUAAAUUGUCCAUGGUAUGACUUUCUGUGAUGCUACAUUUACAACACUUUUGGUUCAGCUUUUUUGUCUUACAAAUGGCACAUAUGCAAUGAACAGGCUUUAGAAAAGAGGGAAAAAGCAGAGAAACUUCUAGCGGAGCUGGAGAAAGCAGAGAGUCCCCAGCAACCUGAAAUAGAUAAAGAAGGUAUAACUGAAGAGGAAAGAUAUAUGCUAAGGAAGGUUGGCUUGAAAAUGAAGCCUUUCCUACUAAUGGGUGAGUUAUACUAUCUUUUUUCUUGGACUCAGCAGCUGUUCUAUCAUUGAUUCCUAUUAUAGGACUGAAUCAUAGGCCAUAUUAAAAAUCCAUCAAACUAUGCGGCUCCUUCAGCAUGAUUGCCAAGAAAGAUUAAUAAAGUCUCUUAAAAUGUUCAGGUCGACGAGGAGUAUUUGAUGGGACAAUUGAAAACAUGCAUCUCCAUUGGAAAUAUAGGGAGCUCGUGAAGAUUAUUUGUAAUGAGAAAAGCAUUGAAUCUGCUCACCAAGUAGCACAAACUUUAGAGUCCGAAAGUGGUGGGAUUCUUGUGGCAGUGGAGAGAGUAAGUAAGGGUUACGCAAUCAUCGUGUACCGUGGAAAAAAUUAUAUCCGGCCUGCUAAUUUGAGACCUCAAACACUUCUGACUAAACGAGAAGCACUGAAGCGUUCUAUUGAGGCACAGCGUCGUGAGGUAGAAUUUGCGUUUUAUCUAUUUGUCAUUAUCAAUCUGCAUCCACUAACUUAAAAUGUUUAAGGAAAAAAGAAAGAUAGAAAGAAUCAUAUGAUGCAAGUCCAUUCAUAGAGGCCGGAUUAAUGGCCAAGUUGUCUAAUCCUAUCAAUUCUAAUUCCCCCCUCUAGAUUGAUUUUGGCUGAAACACUGCCUUUUGAUCUUAGAAUGACCUGAAAUGAAAGAUAACGGAUAUAGUUGCAUUGUCAUGUAAAAUCUAUAGGACAAGGAUCUUGGAACAAUCUUGACUGUUUUUGAUGUUGAAAGCUAUUUCAUAGUCUUUUGUAUUGUUCUUACUUUUAUCAUGUCUACUUCAACAUCUGAUUCUGUUUUCUUUUUUCCUGCUGUGAAAUGCAGUCCUUGAAACUUCAUGUUUUAAAGCUUAACAAGAACAUAGAUGAAUUGGAGGAAUUGGUGGUGAGCUUUCCUAUUAUUCUAUAAUUCAAUAUUUUUACUCUAUCCUUUUUGCUUUUUUGCACAUCAAAGAGACAAUUAUACAUUAUUUUCCUGAACCAGGUUAAAGGCAAGGACUCAAACAAUAUGCAUCCAGUUAAUGAAUCAAAGGAAUUGGUGAGCUAUCUGAUGACUAUAUACUUUGAUGUGCAUCAGAUAUUUAGCUGGAUUAUAGUUAACAGUUUUUUUGCGCCACAUAAAUCAGGUCAGGGAGGAGGUAAAUAAUGUUGAAUCAGAAGAAUGUAUGCAUGAAGAGAAUCUCAAGGUAAAGACUACAAAGUAUGAUAAUGUCUCAGACAUCUGUAUAAUAUUUGUAACUUAUAGUUUUGUUCUUCAAAAGUGAUAUCUGAUAAUCUGAUAUAGUGCAUAAAUGUUUUUCAAGGCUAGAGGCAAACAAGAAUCUCAUGUGACCAACAUGAAUUUAAAUGAUGGAAUGGUUGCUGUUGUGAAAGGCCACUUAGCCACACAACAGGGUGAGGGGUAUGGUCUCUCUUCAAGUUGUGAUGGAGAGGAGACUGAUGAAGUGGAAUCAAGGUCUUCGAAUGGAUCAGUUACGAUUGAAUCCCAGGAAAAUUUGUUCAAUAAUGUAAAAGGAGAAGUUGGAAUAUUGAACAAGGCUAGAGACAAACAAGAACUUGAUGGUAUAGAUGCGGAUGCGGAUUUAUUUGAUGGAAUGAGUCCUGUCAUAAAUGGCCAGUUAGCCACACAGCAAGGUAAGGAGAUUACUUUCUCUUUGGCCUACGAUGAGGAUGGGCCUGGUAAAGUUGAAUCAGUAUCUUCAGAUGAAUCUGUUACAAGUAAAACCCAAGUGGAUUUGUUCGAAGAUAUAAAAGAAGAAGCUGGAGUGUUUAUCAAUGCUAGAGAUAACCAAGAUUCGCAGGUGACUCAGAUGGAUUUAAAUGUUGGAACGGGUGCUGUAGUUAACAGCCAAUUAGCCACUCAACAGGAUAAGGAGAUUUUCUCUUUUAUCUGUGAUGAGAAUGAGAGUGGUAAAGUCGAUCCAGGAUCUUCGGUUACAAUUGAUUCCAAUGCAACUUUCUUCAAGGAUAGAAAUAGAGAAGUUGAAGGUUAUGUUUGCCGUGAAGAUGUUAUGGUAAUAUAAAGAUGUCGUAUGCUAGUUGAUAUUAGUUUAUCUUCUUUUCUUUGGCAACCUCUUAUGUUGUCUGGUUUUGUGGUGAUUCCAGUCAAAAGGUCCAAGCAGUUCUGCUAUUCUUGACAAUCAGCAUCGUGUUUUUGAUUAUGAGCUGGAAUCAUCAGGUAGAUCUGGUAAUACUAAAUCAAAAUCUCCAGUUCCAACAAUGGUAAGAAAGACAUUAAAUGAGAUGCCCUCGAGAGCUGUGCAUUUGUCCAACAGUGAGAGGCUUCUACUGCGAAAGCAAGCCCUGAAGAUGAAAAAACGCCCUGUGCUUGCCGUUGGUAAUUUGUUUUCCAUUUUGAGUUUUCUUAUUUCCCUCUUAUUGUUAAACUAUUCUUGCUAAAACAGUUGUUAUUUGAUAGGAAAUGUACUGCACUGAUUUCUAGUUUGUACCUGAACCUUACUUUCGCACCAUGGAUUUUCUUUUUCAUGCUUAUUUUGAAAAUGCUAACUAUCCCUGACAUUAUAUUGGUUCAUGAUUACAUGUCCUAGUAUAUAGAUUGCCAAAAUCCUAAUCUAUAUGCAACCUCAUUAUUUCUGAAGUGUGCUGUUGUUAUCACUUCUUAGGUAGGAACAAUAUUGUAACUGGUGUUGCGAAAGCAAUCAAAGCGCACUUCGAGAGGUAUCCUCUUGCCAUAGUAAAUGUCAAAGGCAGAGCAAAAGGAACUUCAGUAAGGGAAAUUGUUUUUAAGCUGGAGGUGCGCACAAAAAUUCCUCUCUUUUUCUCCCCUAGUUUAGGCUAUUCUGUGCUUCCAUUUAAACUUGUCUGAAUCUCUCUUGUUUAGGCUAUUCUGUGCUUCCAUUGUAACUUGUAUGAAUUUAUUGUUUCUCUUCCACAGCAAGCAACAGGUGCGGUUUUAGUCUCCCAGGAGCCAAGCAAAGUUAUUCUUUACAGGGGUUGGGGUGCAGGAGAUAGUCCUGGAAAUAAUGAUAAGAAGAACACAAUUGGGAAAAAGGUUGCUCCUGUGUCUCCUGAACUCUUGGCAGCAAUAAGACUCGAGUGUGGUUUACAGAACCACGAAAAGGAAGAUGCAACUGCUUAGGUUGGAUCCUAAGCUUGUACCAGAAGUUACCAACUGCAGAGACCAUGCACAUACAAUACCUAGUUAGCAAGAAUUCACAUUCAUUCACAUCAUCAACUUGAGCCUGAACAUAUCCGGAAACUCAUCUACCCCUUUUGGCAUCUCCAAUCCAGGAAUCUAUGAGAUCAUAUCUUCGGAAGAUUCAACAAGCAUCGGUAUGACUUGUAUGCUAAAUAGAUUGUACCCUAUCUGUAUAUAGAAUGCUGUCUUGACAUAUUCAGUGGCUGAUCUGCUACAUUGGAAAUCAGAGAGCUUUGUUUUGGGGUCAAAAUGAGGGUAAUUCACUAUGCACCCUUCUGUAUGUUAAUCUUGAACAUUUUUGUAAACAUACCUAGAGACUGAAAUAGAAGCACCUGUUCUCUCAUCCUAGAGUAAGGUUAGCCAAAAACUCCUGGUAAGGUCGGUCAGGUGCAUCAGACAAUGAGAUAGUUGUGUAGACCCAUCGACUACGACAUAAUAUUGGCCCAUACUCGCUGCAGGCAUGCCUUUCAUUCUUGUUGUCGAUUCUAGGACCAUGUCCCCAACCCCACUUUCUUCUUCCUUCAACAGUUGAACUCCUUUUUUGUCUUUUUACUUCCGUAUUCUUUGAAUCUUUUCUAGGUGGAGGAUUGUGUAAUUUUUGUUAUUCUAUGCCUUCUUCCUGUUGAUAGUUGAGACGAUACGAAGAGUUAAUUAGCGUAAUGAUAAUUCUCUCUAUGUUUAAAGUUGUAUCGGGCUAAAAAGGAGGUAUAAUCUUGUCUGGAAGACAUGUGAAUAUGAACUGCGACUAGUUGUUUUCUAUCAUUAGUCCUGUGUACGUCCAUCUUUUUCUACUAAUGUGUGAUGAACUACAUCCGUAAUUUAGUUGCAUACAACCGUAGCAAUGAAAGAAAAUGGUGAAAAUUACAUGGCUUCAGGCCUUGGUUUCUUUUGAUAUUGAUAAGACUCUGAAGUGUUUCAAUUAUACAGAUAAUAUGAUGACCUGAAAAAACUGAAGCAGCUGAAACCUGAAGCAGCUGGCAACCCCUGGCAUAACAAAUGGGCAUCAGCUAAACUUAAUGCAAGAUAAGUUCUCACAUAGAAGUUACGCAGUACAAUACACACAACAUUGUUAUUAGUAAAAGUGUUGGUAACAUAUUCAACCGUAAGGUGAAGGUGUUGAUUAUAACUAAAUUACGUAUUGAAAUAAAUAUAACCGUCUUCUUUUUUGUUAUAAAUAAACUACUAUAUCAUCGCUUUGCCUUCUUGUCAUUGUACUGGCUCNCCCUUUUUUUUUUUUUUUUUUUGAAUAUCAACGACCGUAUCAUCAAAGACUCACCAGGUCCAGAAACUAAUCCGCGUCGAGAAAUACUUCCUCAUUUAGUUUUACUUAUUUUCCGUCGAAGAAAAACUUUUGACAUAGGACAUUGAUUCUAAUCAAUUAAUUAAUCAUACUUGCAAGUUUAAGAUUGAUCAACCAAAACAUGCAUCUCAACUAAAUCAAACUGAAACUGCUGCUAGUGUAAUUUUCAAAGAGAAAUAUAACAGAUUAUGAGCUUAGUCGAAGCUGGCGCAUGAUAACAUGGACUUGGCGCAUGAUAACAUUGACUAUGACGCCGGAGCAAGAAGCUAGUCAAAUAUGUAACUGUACUGUGUAUGACAUUGGAGAAAAAAACACACUAAUUUUCUCAAUGGUAGAAGACGAAGUUUAACUUGCCCAAAAUCGCAAUAUUGUUUCACACGCGCUUGGAGUUCAGAUGAGACUGGUUAAGCCACACACUUUCUCUCUCUCUAUCAUAUGUCAGAUAGAGAGAGAGAAGAGAGAAAGAGAGAGGAGUCUUGGGCUUCAUAAAUGAAAAUCAUCAUCACACACACUUUUUCUCUCUCUAUCAUAUGUCAGAUAGAGAGAGAGAAGAGAGAAAGAGAGAGGAAGAGAGAGGUAGGCACAAAAAACCUAGAAAUUUAGCUGCCUUUCUUUCAACGCCAGAGGCCAAACGCAAUCAUGCUGUCUUCUCCUUACCUUCUUUAUCGCCAUCAUUGCUCCCACUCCAUCUUCUUCUGCUCCAACCCCUCCUCAACCACCCCACAAAGUCCAGACCAUCAUCAUUAUCACCAACAAAGGAGAAAGAAGAAGAAGAAGAAGAAGAAAGCUUUUCAAGGAAAACCAGAAAGAUCUACCCUAGCUGUUCUCAGCUUUCUCUUUGGUUGCCAGUGAUGAACAAGUGAAAAGUGUGUUUCUGAUCCGACUAUUUCAAAGAUUUUUUCAAGUCUUUGCUUUUGGGGAAUCAAGCAUCAUGGUCCGACUCUACUUCGAUUUGCUUGUGUAUGUUCCAUCAAAGCUGCAUCAGAUCGUUUCUCUAGUUCUUGUAUCGAUCGGUUUGUAGUUCUCUCUCUUGUUUAUGUGAUCCUUGUAGUUGGGAUCUUGUUGGAUAAGGGUUUCUGUCAUUAGGUUACUUAAGAACAAUUAAGUUACUAGCUAGCUAGCUAUUUGGUUACGAAGAAGGUCUUAUGCUCUAUCUCUCUGAUCUGUGUAUGGAUUCCUCUUGUUAAUCAUCAGAUUUGGCGUCUCUUCAACUCAACGUUAGCUUGAAGAUGAUUGAAUUUGUGUGGUUCGAAUUUCCUGGUGAAAUGAUAAUAAGAUAUAUAUUACUGUUGAAAUCCAAUAAUUCUAGAUAUGUAUAUAUGUGAAUGCGUGGUUUGGUACUCUGGUUAGUAUGAACUGUAUGAUUAGUUUCUACUUCAACUUCCUGAUGCAGAAAACUUGAUUAGCUAGUGUAUGAUUGAACCAAAGUAUCGUACUCGGUUAUGUUAAUUAAGUCAUGAGUUCCUUGAAAACUUUUCUUUCUAGCUAGAUCCACUCCAUAAUCCAUAGUAGGGUUUUCAUUUAGA
RNAcentral lists this long non-coding RNA (7134 nucleotides) under Fragaria vesca (wild strawberry). RNAcentral describes it as "long non-coding RNA (FVES_LNC001733)". Lineage: Eukaryota; Viridiplantae; Streptophyta; Magnoliopsida; Rosales; Rosaceae. The record is from RNAcentral.